ACGGGAGGCAGCAGUGGGGAAUAUUGCACAAUGGGCGAAAGCCUGAUGCAGCUAUACCGCGUGUAUGAAGAAGGCCUUAGGGUUGUAAAGUACUUUCGUUGGGGAGGAAAAAUAAAUAGAUAAUACCUGUUUAUCGUGACGUUACCCAAAAAAGAAGCACCGGCUAACUCCGUGCCAGCAGCCGCGGUAAUACGGAGGGUGCAAGCGUUAAUCAGAAUUACUGGGCGUAAAGAGCUCGUAGGCGGUUUUUUAAGUCAGAUGUGAAAUCCCUGGGCUUAACCUAGGAACUGCAUUUGAAACUAAAAGACUAGAGUAUCGUAGAGGGAGGUAGAAUUCUAGGUGUAGCGGUGAAAUGCGUAGAUAUCUGGAGGAAUACCUGUGGCGAAAGCGGCCUCCUAAAUGAAUACUGACGCUGAGGUGCGAAAGCAUGGGGAGCAAACAGGAUUAGAUACCCUGGUAGUCCAUGCCGUAAACGAUGUCGACUUGGAGGUUGUUUCCUUGAGAAGUGACUUCCGAAGCUAACGCGUUAAGUCGACCGCCUGGGGAGUACGGUCGCAAGGCUAAAACUCAAAUGAAUUGACGGGGGCCCGCACAAGCGGUGGAGCAUGUGGUUUAAUUCGAUGCAACGCGAAAAACCUUACCUGGUCUUGACAUCCACAGAAUUUUUCAGAGAUGAAAAAGUGCCUUAGGGAACUGUGAGACAGGUGCUGCAUGGCUGUCGUCAGCUCGUGUUGUGAAAUGUUGGGUUAAGUCCCGCAACGAGCGCAACCCUUAUCCUCUGUUGCCAUUGGUUCGGCCAGGAACUCAGAGGAGACUGCCGGUUAUAAACCGGAGGAAGGCGGGGACGACGUCAAGUCAUCAUGGCCCUUACGACCAGGGCUACACACGUGCUACAAUGGUGUAUACAAAGAGAAGCAACUCUGCAAAGACAAGCAACCUCAU
RNAcentral lists this ribosomal RNA (942 nucleotides) under Buchnera aphidicola (Prociphilus erigeronensis). Its description in RNAcentral is "bacterial SSU rRNA". It matches the Rfam family "Bacterial small subunit ribosomal RNA", at positions 341 to 1277 of the family's 1533-position model. The record is from RNAcentral. Lineage: Bacteria; Pseudomonadati; Pseudomonadota; Gammaproteobacteria; Enterobacterales; Erwiniaceae.